GCCAUGAGGAAGGUAUACCUUUAGCUGAAGUUAUGACACUAACCAACCCCACUGGAUCCAUACUGGUUUGCCUACUGUGAAGAAAAAAAAACAUGUAUUUUCCCACCUUCUUUACUGUCUGCAGCCUUCUCUUGCAGAUGCAUACAUAUUGGAGAGUGACUGACAGAACUGAAGCUCUCUGGGCCUGUUCCCUUCCUCUGCAGCAGCCCAGGAAUGUGGUUCCACAGGAGUUACAAGCCCUGUACUACGCUUAAGGGCAGUGCCACAUGAGGACCCAACAAGGCUUUCAGGUUUAUGACAAAAUAUCAGUAAUUCAGUGCAUUAGUCCUUCAGAGGAUUUCUCAAAGAAUAAGAGGCCAUUGUGCUGUCACCAGACUAAUGGACACUCCACUGCUGCUAUCAGCUCUUCACCAAGCAGUCGGCAAGGAUCUGGAAACACUUCUUGCUGGCAACAUUAAUUGGAGCGGCAGCUAUUCAGCUUGUACAUCCUUGCUUACUCACUAGAGCAUUCUUCUUGUCACAAACUCAAAGCUGACAUCUCUGUUCACAUCAGUACUCUGAGAAUCCCAGUUCUAUAAAUACUUUCCUAAACAAACAUUUUCUAUUUUUAAUGGAUAUGUACAAAAGCUAUUCAAAGGAAAUCAAACCUAAACUAAUAUAUUUAAUUCAGUAAAUUAAUGUAGUAAAGUGUAGUAAAUGUAGUAAAUGUAGUAAAUGUAGUAAUGUAGUAAAAAUGAAAAUAUUGAGAAUGUCAUGAGCUGCAGUGGACUUCAGGACCAGAGUGUCUGUGAUUGGUGAAGCCUGUGUGCAGCCUGUGAAUCUGGAGGUCUCUCUGUACCAUGAGUGCUGCUGCAGUUCAUGGUCUGCUGCUCCUUCUUGCAUGUUGGGCUGGAAGCAAGGCUGAGUCCAUGCUCCAGAGGCACACACAUACACGCACACCUGACACUAAAAUAGCUGCCCAUGAAGACUACCUCAGACAGGCUGCUGACUUCAGCAGCAGCCCAUGGAUACCAACACCACACACAUAAAAUAGUCCAGUCCUGCUCUUCCUUUCUGGCUGAUCAGGGUUAGAGAAUUGAAAGGCUCUAGGGGGACCUUACUGAUAUAUAAAUACCUGCACACAAGGCACCAAGAGGUUGGAGCCAGGUUCUUUUCAGAAGUGUCCACUGCCAGGAUUGGAGGCAGUGGGCACAAAUUGGAAUUGGUGUACAUCUGACUCUCUCAGGAUCAUGCUCCUGGUUUGGAUCAUCAGGAAUGAACCCAGGGUCAUGUAACAUUUCCACCACAG
RNAcentral lists this long non-coding RNA (1288 nucleotides) under Numida meleagris (helmeted guineafowl). RNAcentral describes it as "lncRNA (ENSNMEG00000007190.1)". Lineage: Eukaryota; Metazoa; Chordata; Aves; Galliformes; Numididae. The record is from RNAcentral.